AGUGAACGCUGGCGGUAGGCCUAACACAUGCAAGUCGAACGGCAGCACAGUAAGAGCUUGCUCUUACGGGUGGCGAGUGGCGGACGGGUGAGGAAUACAUCGGAAUCUACUUUUUCGUGGGGGAUAACGUAGGGAAACUUACGCUAAUACCGCAUACGACCUACGGGUGAAAGCAGGGGAUCUUCGGACCUUGCGCGAUUGAAUGAGCCGAUGUCGGAUUAGCUAGUUGGCGGGGUAAAGGCCCACCAAGGCGACGAUCCGUAGCUGGUCUGAGAGGAUGAUCAGCCACACUGGAACUGAGACACGGUCCAGACUCCUACGGGAGGCAGCAGUGGGGAAUAUUGGACAAUGGGCGCAAGCCUGACCAGCCAUACCGCGUGGGUGAAGAAGGCCUUCGGGUUGUAAAGCCCUUUUGUUGGGAAAGAAAAGCAGCAGGUUAAUACCCCGCUGUUCUGACGGUACCCAAAGAAUAAGCACCGGCUAACUUCGUG
This 491-nucleotide ribosomal RNA is filed under the name uncultured bacterium. Its description in RNAcentral is "partial 16S ribosomal RNA". It matches the Rfam family "Bacterial small subunit ribosomal RNA", at positions 29 to 507 of the family's 1533-position model. The record is from RNAcentral.